This 178-nucleotide ribosomal RNA is filed under the name uncultured bacterium. Its description in RNAcentral is "partial 16S ribosomal RNA". It matches the Rfam family "Bacterial small subunit ribosomal RNA", at positions 338 to 508 of the family's 1533-position model. The record is from RNAcentral.
CCUACGGGAGGCAGCAGUGGGGAAUUUUGNACAAUGGGGGCAACCCUGAUCCAGCAAUGCCGCGUGUGUGAAGAAGGCCUUCGGGUUGUAAAGCACUUUUGUCCGGAAAGAAAUCCUUUGGGUUAAUACCUUGGGGGAAUGACGGUACCGGAAGAAUAAGCACCGGCUAACUACGUGC